RNAcentral lists this ribosomal RNA (437 nucleotides) under uncultured bacterium. RNAcentral describes it as "partial 16S ribosomal RNA". It matches the Rfam family "Bacterial small subunit ribosomal RNA", at positions 29 to 507 of the family's 1533-position model. The record is from RNAcentral.
AGCGAACGCUGGCGGCAGGCUUAACACAUGCAAGUCGAGCGGGCAUCCUUGUGGUGUCAGCUGCAGACGGGUGAGUAACGCGUGGGAACGUGCCCUUCGUUUCGGAAUAACUCAUGGAAACGUGAGCUAAUACCGGAUACGUGCUAGUGCAGAAAGGUUUAUCUGCGUAAGGGUCGGCCCGCUUCUGAUUAGGUAGGUGUUGAUGUUACGGCUCCCCAAGGCGACGAUCACUAGCUGGUCGGAGAGGAUGAUCAGACACACUGGGACUGAGACACAGCCCAGAAUACUACGGGAAGCAGGAGUGGGGAAUAUUGGAAAAUCGGGGCAAUCAUGAUCCAGCCAUGCCGCGUGAGUGAUGACGGCCUUAGGGUUGUACAGCUCUUUUCUCCGGCACGAUACUGACGGUACCGGAGGAAUAAGCCCCGGCUAACUUCGUG